Molecule: long non-coding RNA, 3181 nt
Filed under: Sus scrofa (pig)
Lineage: Eukaryota; Metazoa; Chordata; Mammalia; Artiodactyla; Suidae
Description: lncRNA (ENSSSCG00000055827.1)
Source: RNAcentral
UCUGUAGCAUAGCUCAUUUUAUUGUUUAAACAGUUUUUGCAUAGGAAAUAUAUCUGCUUCCAGUAAUUGACUGCAGUAUGAGCAGCUGCUAGCAGUAUAGGCUGGAUAUAACAGUAACAAUCACAUUAAGUCAAGCUUGAUUUACACCAGUUUAAAACUUGUGGCAAUUGAGUUCAUUUGCAACCCACAAAAAGUACCCAAAGAACAUUAUCCUCCAACCGGGCACAAUAAAACCUUCGCUAACAUUCUGGCCCCGUCUGGGGCUGAUCCCAGAGGUCUGAACGCCAGAAAUUCAGUAACUGUCAUAUAAUACAUCCUACUGCUAAAGGUUUGUUAACACAGAGACUGUGCAUGUGCCUCCUUUUGGAAAAAUUUAAUUAAAGUACAAGGUUCUGUAUUUAUGGCCCACGAGGACAAAAAUGCCAAAAGUUUUAAAAUGGAUCAACCCUGGUGUGUAGCUAGCAAGCAAUAACUGACUACUCGUCACCUACAGUUGUACUAAAUGUAUCUAAAGAAACACACAGUCCUACAAAAGUUGUUCUCAGAGAAAUAUCAUUGAGGUGGGGGCAUCUCUUCCCAGGAUGCUAAAAGUUCUAUAUGAUAUAAGCACAAAUUAACAGCUUGAUGAAGACAUAAUCUAAUGCAGCUUUGAGAAGCCUAUGCCUGGGAUGGAGUUACCCCUCACAUUCUACAAUGUUGUAGAGAUUUUUUUUUUUCCAAGAAAAUGUCAUUUGAAACAUAUUUACAACUGAACUCAACAGAGACUGUGAAAUUGAACAGGCACUGCUCAUUUGUUUGAGUUUUUUGGUAAACAUUUUGCUGGUUUUUUUUUUUUUGUUUUAUUUUGUUUUGUUUCUUUCUCGUUUUGCAUCAACUUUUUUUCAGUCCAUGCAACUUCAAUGCCCUCGAUGAAGAAUGCAUAAUAAGCCAUACUUCUCAAAAAAAAAAAAAAAGACUUCCUUCUGCAUAAAGAGAUAUAUUUGCCACAUCAGUCCCUGUAGCACAGUUUUCCAUACCAUUCUGUCAAAAAUACAGUAAUACAAGACCGGCUUUAGUGUCACCAGCUCACACUGCCUUCCACAUAUGCAGGCCACCUUUUGUUACUGGUACUGUAUCAUGCAAUGAAAGUUAUCAGAGGCUGGGGCUGGCGUGCUGGUAGGCUAGUGGCACUGAAGCGUUUUCACAAUCUCAACAUACAUUUGAAUUGCAACACACAGUUAUUUCUAAAGAGUCUUAACUAGUGAACCCUUUUAUUAUUUAAAAAAAAAAAAAAACUACUUACAACCAUUGAAGAAAGGAUUGCAACAACAACAAAAAAAAAAUGUAAAAAUUGACCGUCUCCAACUUGUCCCCUUUUACUAUAUGAACAAUGUCACCAACAGAUCUGUGGCACGGACGCAGUACAAAGAGUUGUCAUGGCAAUGAGUUUGGCUGAUGCAAAGGUCAUUGUGCAGGGUCAAAGGGCAAAAAUCAGUGGUCCAUGUAACCCCCCAACUGCAGUGCUCCACCCCACCCACACAAUUUUUAAGGAAUUAGAAAAAACAGGGGAACUACCAGAAAGUGCAAAAUAUGAAGAAGGCAGCUUUCAGCACCUUCAGCAUGGAGUAGAACAUUCAAUUUUGAGCUUUUACUAUUGAACUUGAAUAGCCUGCACAUUUAAAAAAAAAAAAAAAGUUUUCUAUAGAAACCCAAUUUUUUAAGUCCAGGAAGCAUGCAGCUGGUUAAUGUUAACAAAAGACCUUGACAGGAACAUGUAAACUAUACUGAAUGUCAUGCUUGGGGCCUAUCUGCCAGCAAUAUUGUAGAGUUGUUUCAUUAAAAAUGAAUACUGUACACUGAAUAUGGGAUAACUUUCUGCAGCCUUCAUCGUUUCACACAGUACAUAGUUUGAAUCUAGGUAAAGAACACGUGUCUUGGUGUCAAACCGCUGAAGAUGUCCCUGUGCAAUCUCUUUUGUUGAGUCCUUAUGAAGCUACAAGUCACCAAUCCAAGAUUCUGCUCCCUGAGGACACGUUAUGUGAGACAUAGCACUGUUUUCGUUUUCUGCCUAUCCUGAAUGCUCUGUGAAACAACCUUAAAUACCAUCACGGAACAAUCACAAAAACUUUUGCUAAAGGCCGUUAUAUACUAAUAAAAAGACAGUGGUGCUUCCGACAUUCUGAAAUGCUCUGAAAACCAACUUUUCCAAUACUAAAUACAACAAAAUAACCUUCAUAAAAUAUAACUUUUCUCCAUUUACACUUUUUUAAAGGAUUAGUAUCCUAUGCUUUUCAAGCACAGGAAUCUGUGAAAUAACUCCUAACAUGGACAGAUUUUUUUUUAAUACAUAACUUAAGAGACUGGAGAGUUUUAACUCAAGUCCAGUCUCCAAACAAGGAAUAUUCUUGUUUACUUUAAAAAUGGAAACAACAUAUAGUUCCAUUAUAAUUGUUAAAAAGUUAGCUUUACAAACAUGGGAAUUUUAAUUUAAAAAAAAAAUUCUUAACAAAACUAUACAGUGUACAAAUUACUGUCUACAAGGUAGGCGGUUCGUUAAGAAGACCUUUCGCUCUUCUUGCUACUCGCAGCUUCACAGAUUCAUUCACAUAUUUUUUUUUAAAUGGAGCUGCCCACCCGAACAUUACCCCAUAACUAUAUUGCUAUAAUUAAGAUUUUUGCCAUGUCUUUAUGUACAGUCUCCUUCACUGCCUUUUUCCAAUUUUCUCCUUAGACAAGCCUCCAACGCUCAUGUCACUCCAGAGGAAACACUUCAGAGGCACUGUGAGUGGUGGGCUACAAAGCAACGCAAGGAAAGCUGAACAGUGCCGAGAGCCUGGGGCUGGAGAUGCCACGCCCAGCUGGUGCCCUUGGGUGACCUUCACCAUCCUAUAGCUCUGCAGUUCUGGGGAGGGGAGGGGCGUGCAAGACCUGCCAGAGUGGGGCCCUCAGUCACAAGAUACUUCCUGGUAAAAGGAGGAGGCCGAAAUGGAUUUGAGAUUUCUAUAUAUAUAUAAAUUUAUAUAGUAAAUUUUUAAGAGUUUUAUCUCAAAAGGAAAGGAGACCAAAACAAUGAUUUAAAAAAAAAAAAAUUAACACUCGAAUUAGGCUUCUGUAUUCAAGAGGCAGGCAGGAAUACCCACAGUGUGUAACUUACUUAGCAAGAGCUGCUCAUUUACUGGCAAAAAAAAAAAAAGAAAAGAAA